RNAcentral lists this ribosomal RNA (155 nucleotides) under Ionaspis odora. Its description in RNAcentral is "5.8S ribosomal RNA". It matches the Rfam family "5.8S ribosomal RNA". From Rfam's summary of the family: 5.8S ribosomal RNA (5.8S rRNA) is a component of the large subunit of the eukaryotic ribosome. It is transcribed by RNA polymerase I as part of the 45S precursor that also contains 18S and 28S rRNA. Functionally, it is thought that 5.8S rRNA may be involved in ribosome translocation. The record is from RNAcentral. Lineage: Eukaryota; Fungi; Ascomycota; Lecanoromycetes; Hymeneliales; Hymeneliaceae.
CUUUCAACAACGGAUCUCUUGGCUCCGGCAUCGAUGAAGAACGCAGCGAAAUGCGAUAAGUAAUGUGAAUUGCAGAAUUCAGUGAAUCAUAGAAUCUUUGAACGCACAUUGCGCCCCCUGGUAUUCCGGGGGGCAUGCCUGUCCGAGCGUCAUUG